GGGGUUCCUUGGCGCUGACGAGUGGCGGACGGGUGAGUAACGCGUAGGAAUCUGCCUGGCAGCGGGGACAAACCCCGGGAAACCGGGGCUAAUACCGCAUAUACCCCACGGGGGAAAGACGGGGACUUCUUCGGAGGCCUGUCGCUGCCGGAUGAGCCUGCGUUGGAUUAGUUUGUUGGUGGGGUAAAGCCUACCAAGGCUGAUGAUCCAUAGCUGGUCUGAGAGGGUGAUCAGCCACACUGGGACUGAAACACGGCCAGACUCCCUACGGAGGCAGCAGUGGGAAUAUUGACAAUGGGCCGCAAGCCUGAUCCCCUAUGCCGCGUGUGUGAGAAG
RNAcentral lists this ribosomal RNA (336 nucleotides) under uncultured bacterium. RNAcentral's name for it is "bacterial SSU rRNA". It matches the Rfam family "Bacterial small subunit ribosomal RNA", at positions 73 to 412 of the family's 1533-position model. The record is from RNAcentral.